AGCGAACGCUGGCGGCAGGCCUAACACAUGCAAGUCGAACGAACUCUUCGGAGUUAGUGGCGGACGGGUGAGUAACACGUGGGAACGUGCCUUUAGGUUCGGAAUAACUCAGGGAAACUUGUGCUAAUACCGAAUGUGCCCUUCGGGGGAAAGAUUUAUCGCCUUUAGAGCGGCCCGCGUCUGAUUAGCCAGUUGGUGAGGUAAAGGCUCACCAAGGCGACGAUCAGUAGCUGGUCUGAGAGGAUGAUCAGCCACAUUGGGACUGAGACACGGCCCAAACUCCUACGGGAGGCAGCAGUGGGGAAUCUUGCGCAAUGGGCGAAAGCCUGACGCAGCCAUGCCGCGUGAAUGAUGAAGGUCUUAGGAUUGUAAAAUUCUUUCACCGGGGACGAUAAUGACGGUACCCGGAGAAGAAGCCCCGGCUAACUUCGUG
This 433-nucleotide ribosomal RNA is filed under the name uncultured bacterium. RNAcentral's name for it is "partial 16S ribosomal RNA". It matches the Rfam family "Bacterial small subunit ribosomal RNA", at positions 29 to 507 of the family's 1533-position model. The record is from RNAcentral.